This 497-nucleotide ribosomal RNA is filed under the name uncultured bacterium. Its description in RNAcentral is "partial 16S ribosomal RNA". It matches the Rfam family "Bacterial small subunit ribosomal RNA", at positions 28 to 507 of the family's 1533-position model. The record is from RNAcentral.
GAUGAACGCUGGCGGCGUGCCUAAUACAUCCAAGUCGAGCGAACAGACGAGGAGCUUGCUCCUCUGACGUUAGCGGCGGACGGGUGAGUAACACGUGGAUAACCUACCUAUAAGACUGGGAUAACUUCGGGAAACCGGAGCUAAUACCGGAUAAUAUAUUGAGCCGCAUGGUUCAAUAGUGAAAGACGGUUUUGCUGUCACUUAUAGAUGGAUCCGCGCCGCAUUAGCUAGUUGGUAAGGUAACGGCUUACCAAGGCAACGAUGCGUAGCCGACCUGAGAGGGUGAUCGGCCACACUGGAACUGAGACACGGUCCAGACUCCUACGGGAGGCAGCAGUAGGGAAUCUUCCGCAAUGGGCGAAAGCCUGACGGAGCAACGCCGCGUGAGUGAUGAAGGUCUUCGGAUCGUAAAACUCUGUUAUUAGGGAAGAACAAAUGUGUAAGUAACUAUGCACGUCUUGACGGUACCUAAUCAGAAAGCCACGGCUAACUACGUG